UCUAUGAUUAGGAUGGAGGACAAUGCUUGUUGUUCCAGAGUUUGAGAGGGAGGUUGAAUUGCUUUGGGAAUCAAGAGAUAAGCGAAAGCAACUAAGCUUGUUGAGGAACGAGCGUGAUCUUGUUGAAGACCAAGUUCAUCAUUUGAAGUGAUCUCUCAAAUUUGAAAGUCUUCGUGAUGAUGAAAAGCAGAAUAUGAUUUCAACUCUGAGUGAUUUGGAGUCUUGAAGGGAUCAAGUGUGACUUGCUCAUCAGCAGGUUCAACAGGAUUGU
Long non-coding RNA from Hibiscus syriacus, 271 nucleotides. RefSeq lists it as uncharacterized. Lineage: Eukaryota; Viridiplantae; Streptophyta; Magnoliopsida; Malvales; Malvaceae. The record is from RefSeq and is a predicted model, not a curated record. The transcript is spliced from 4 exons.